This 358-nucleotide unclassified non-coding RNA is filed under the name soil metagenome. RNAcentral describes it as "partial contains 5.8S ribosomal RNA, internal transcribed spacer 2, and large subunit ribosomal RNA". The stretch from base 1 to 120 matches the Rfam family "5.8S ribosomal RNA", at positions 35 to 154 of the family's 154-position model. The record is from RNAcentral.
GAUGAAGAACGUAGCGAAAUGCGAUAAGUAAUGUGAAUUGUAGAAUUCAGUGAAUCAUCGAAUCUUUGAACGCACAUUGCGCCCGCCAGUAUUCUGGCGGGCAUGCCUGUCCGAGCGUCAUUUCAACCCUCGAACCCCUCCGGGGGGUCGGCGUUGGGGACCUCGGGAGCCCCUAAGACGGGAUCCCGGCCCCGAAAUACAGUGGCGGUCUCGCCGCAGCCUCUCCUGCGCAGUAGUUUGCACAACUCGCACCGGGAGCGCGGCGCGUCCACGUCCGUAAAACACCCAACUUCUGAAAUGUUGACCUCGGAUCAGGUAGGAAUACCCGCUGAACUUAAGCAUAUCAAUAAGCGGAGGA